Molecule: ribosomal RNA, 1019 nt
Filed under: uncultured bacterium
Lineage: Bacteria
Description: bacterial SSU rRNA
Rfam family: Bacterial small subunit ribosomal RNA
Source: RNAcentral
UGAGGAAUAUUGGUCAAUGGACGAGAGUCUGAACCAGCCAAGUAGCGUGCAGGAAGACGGCCCUAUGGGUUGUAAACUGCUUUUAUAAGGGAAUAAAGUUAGUCUCGUGAGACUUUUUGCAUGUACCUUAUGAAUAAGGACCGGCUAAUUCCGUGCCAGCAGCCGCGGUAAUACGGAAGGUCCGGGCGUUAUCCGGAUUUAUUGGGUUUAAAGGGAGCGUAGGCCGGAGAUUAAGCGUGUUGUGAAAUGUAGACGCUCAACGUCUGCACUGCAGCGCGAACUGGUUUCCUUGAGUACGCACAAAGUGGGCGGAAUUCGUGGUGUAGCGGUGAAAUGCUUAGAUAUCACGAAGAACUCCGAUUGCGAAGGCAGCUCACUGGAGCGCAACUGACGCUGAAGCUCGAAAGUGCGGGUAUCGAACAGGAUUAGAUACCCUGGUAGUCCGCACGGUAAACGAUGGAUGCCCGCUGUUGGUCUGAAUAGGUCAGCGGCCAAGCGAAAGCAUUAAGCAUCCCACCUGGGGAGUACGCCGGCAACGGUGAAACUCAAAGGAAUUGACGGGGGCCCGCACAAGCGGAGGAACAUGUGGUUUAAUUCGAUGAUACGCGAGGAACCUUACCCGGGCUUGAAUUGCAGAGGAAGGAUUUGGAGACAAUGACGCCCUUCGGGGCCUCUGUGAAGGUGCUGCAUGGUUGUCGUCAGCUCGUGCCGUGAGGUGUCGGCUUAAGUGCCAUAACGAGCGCAACCCCUCUCCUUAGUUGCCAUCAGGUUAAGCUGGGCACUCUGGGGACACUGCCACCGUAAGGUGUGAGGAAGGUGGGGAUGACGUCAAAUCAGCACGGCCCUUACGUCCGGGGCUACACACGUGUUACAAUGGCAGGUACAGAGAGACGGUCCCUUGCAAAAUGGAUCAAAUCCUUAAAGCCUGUCUCAGUUCGGACUGGGGUCUGCAACCCGACCCCACGAAGCUGGAUUCGCUAGUAAUCGCGCAUCAGCCAUGGCGCGGUGAAUACGUUCCC